This 639-nucleotide ribosomal RNA is filed under the name uncultured bacterium. Its description in RNAcentral is "bacterial SSU rRNA". The stretch from base 1 to 540 matches the Rfam family "Bacterial small subunit ribosomal RNA", at positions 338 to 873 of the family's 1533-position model. The record is from RNAcentral.
CCUACGGGAGGCAGCAGUGAGGAAUAUUGGACAAUGGGCGCAAGCCUGAUCCAGCCAUGCCGCGUGCAGGAUGACGGUCCUAUGGAUUGUAAACUGCUUUUAUACGAGAAGAAACACUACUUCGUGAAGUAGCUUGACGGUAUCGUAAGAAUAAGGAUCGGCUAACUCCGUGCCAGCAGCCGCGGUAAUACGGAGGAUCCAAGCGUUAUCCGGAAUCAUUGGGUUUAAAGGGUCCGUAGGCGGUUUAAUAAGUCAGUGGUGAAAGCCCAUCGCUCAACGGUGAACGGCCAUUGAUACUGUUAGACUUGAAUUAUUAGGAAGUAACUAGAAUAUGUAGUGUAGCGGUGAAAUGCUUAGAGAUUACAUGGAAUACCAAUUGCGAAGGCAGGUUACUACUAAUAUAUUGACGCUGAUGGACGAAAGCGUGGGUAGCGAACAGGAUUAGAUACCCUGGUAGUCCACGCCGUAAACGAUGGAUACUAGCUGUUAGGAAGCUAAUUUCAGGUGGNGUAGACGAAGUAGAGUAAGUAAGUACCGACCGUACGGGUAGGUUAACGGUUCGUCGAAGAAGUAGUUAAACGUUACGAAAGGAAGUUAGACGGCGUUGAGACGNGCGACGGACGACGACGAGGGAGGAGG